GCGUAGGAAUAACGCAGUGCAAUAUUUGACUUGUUGCCACGCCAGUUCAUAACAGCCGUCCAUGACCAAGCCACCGCCUUUGCUCAAUAAGGCUCCAACUAAUCCACGUGACCGUAUGAGAACCGUUUGAUAAUUUAAAUCGUUAUUAAUCGUGUACGUUCAUUUUACGGAGAACCCUCUAUAUUUAGGUAGGGUUUCUUCACAGUUGUCUUAUCGUUUCAUUUCCGCAUCUGCAUAAUUUCUUCCGUCCGUCUUCUCAUCGGAGUUGCAAAUGGCCUCUCUCUUAGGAUUCUCUUGAAAGUUGUAGAUCGCUUGGCGAUCUACCUAUUGAUGGGAAUCUUGCGUGUGUUGAGGCGAGUCCUACUUUGAAUGUUGGAUCUGGCCGGACAGUAUCGAGUUUGACAGAUCUUAAUGGAGGAACGUGUUGCCGAUCUUGACUCUAUGGUUGCUCUGGAGAUGCAGGUGCACCGUCGGUAUGCGAUGUGGAUCCAUGGAGUGGUUGAUGUGUUCUUGAUCACAGAAGAGGUGCUUGUGGAUGCGGAUCUUCGUCAUGUAAAUAUGUAACGAGCAUAGGAAGAUCUCGUAUUGAGGAUGUGCUAUUUAUCUUGCAAAAUUUUGAGUUCUCCUAUCGUUCCACGAGGUUUAAUUUACAAUUUGGAUGUAAAAGAUAUCGGGAUGUAGGAGGCCUAAUUUCAGGGGGCCGAAUCCUGUACGAUCUUUGUCAUCCGACCUUUGCCAUGACAGGUGCGCUUGCAUGGCAGGUCACCCCUACUUAAUAAUAAUUCUCUUUGUUUUUCGAGGGGAGAUCGCACGGGGAUUGCCCGGGUUCUCUCCUCGCGUGUUUGUGGGUGUGGUGUCUUUCUACUCUAUAUCCCGUCACAACAGCAAUUUUUCGCGGUACUUCGUAGGCUAAUGCAACGAAUUCGAGGUCAUCACUCAUCAUCAUCGGCAAAGAAUACUCGAGGUAUCUUCAACAACCCAUAAAUUUCGCAAUGAUUUCAGAUAUAUUUUGUCAUUUUGACAUUACUGCGCCAGCCAACAAUUAAGAAUGGUCUGAAACAGAAAGGAAGUAGUUCGGUAACAAUUGAUUAAUUUGGCUAGUGUUUUUUUGUUUGUUUGUUUUGGUAGUUCCUAAUAUCGUAGAUGAUCAACGGUCAAGGAUUAUCAUUGUGGGCUGAAAUUCGAUUAUUUACCACUCAAAUCGUUCCAUUAUAAUUUCUGUUUUUUGCGUUUUACUUCCAAUACGUAGUAGUCUGUUUGGGAGGUUCUUAAUUGUUAAAUCAAGUGUUGCACAAAUUAAUGCAUUUUGUUUCAUUUUCAAUUUUCUGGGACUGUAUAUUAUUACUCUACCCUAAUGAUUCCUUGCGAGGGCUGUCUGUGUGCGCGCAUAUAACUGAAUUGUUUCUGAGGCUCUGUAACUAUGUACGAAAGUGUGGAUCCGCUGGUGUUUCUCAUGGUUGGUAGCGCGUGGUUUAGAAACUCUCAACUGCUGUUGCCUUGCUGACGAAUUGUAAGUGUUGCACGGUGCUUCUAUGGUAGGAUUAUGGACAAGGUGGUGAUGGCUUAUAGAAUUUUUCAAGCUUAUUAACUGUUUUUUUAAAGGAAUUAGGUUUUAGAGCGGUGCUCGGUUAUUGUUGGUAAUUCUCUCUCGUUAUGUUCAUAUUCUCUAGUCUUAUUUUUAAAUUAGAAUUAGUAAUUGUUAUUAUUCAUUAUUAGCCCACAAUGUUGGUAAAAGAAUCUAUGGUCACGAUUGUUUCCCCAUUUGGGCGUUGGUCACUACGUUAGAUUAUGUUAUUUGUUAAAAGGAUAAAUUUGAAACACACACAUCAGGAAUAUACUAUACUUGAAAGCUUGUGUAGCUA
Long non-coding RNA from Tripterygium wilfordii, 1862 nucleotides. RefSeq lists it as uncharacterized. Lineage: Eukaryota; Viridiplantae; Streptophyta; Magnoliopsida; Celastrales; Celastraceae. The transcript is spliced from 2 exons. The record is from RefSeq and is a predicted model, not a curated record.